GUGAAGUAAAUGUACAGCUACGUCAUUUACAUGCGCAACCGACGGUUCUUUAAAACUACAAACAAAACGUUCUUUUUGACAUUACUUUCAUCCUGUUGUUGGACACGUAACUAAUGUGUGCCUUCACGAUUUUAUUCAAAUAAAGGCAGCAAGAUAUUGAAAUAAAACCGGUUUACCGUCUCCUGCCGCUCGUGCGCGUGCCUAACAACCACAACUCACCUGAGCGCGGGAGUGUCGCGCUGUUACCACGACAACCACCUGGGGGGGUCGUCACAUGAUGAAAAGUAUCGCGUGAGGUGACGGCCAAGAAAAAAAUCGGUAUAUAAUAUGGAUAGAAAUUCCCGAUUAGGACGAACAGAUCUUUUUAGGCUGUUUAUUUUUUUGAGAUGUUGUACUGUACGUCAACAGGUGAGAUCCUCUGACGUCAUGUGACAGAUGGAGGCUUGCGGAUCAGUCCCACGUCAAGCAUAAAUGGCAUGUGGUGCUUUGUUGUGGUGAUUGGAGGUGACAGUGGACUGAGAAGAUGCGUCUCUUUAAUGAAACUGUCUUUCAAAAGAUGAAACUGACGCCGCUCAUCACAGAAGCUUCUUAAGCAGCCCGUCUCCUCCUUCCUCCCUCUCUCUCUCUCUCUCUCU
Triplophysa rosa is the source of this 635-nucleotide long non-coding RNA. RefSeq lists it as uncharacterized. The record is from RefSeq and is a predicted model, not a curated record. Lineage: Eukaryota; Metazoa; Chordata; Actinopteri; Cypriniformes; Nemacheilidae. The transcript has 3 exons.